Molecule: ribosomal RNA, 292 nt
Filed under: uncultured bacterium
Lineage: Bacteria
Description: partial 16S ribosomal RNA
Rfam family: Bacterial small subunit ribosomal RNA
Source: RNAcentral
GUGUCAGCAGCCGCGGUAAUACGUAGGGUGCGAGCGUUAAUCGGAAUUACUGGGCGUAAAGCGUGCGUAGGCGGUUCGUUAAGUUCGUCGUGAAAGCCCCGGGCUCAACCUGGGAAUGGCGAUGGAAACUGGCGGGCUGGAGUAUGGCAGAGGGGGGUGGAAUUCCGCGUGUAGCAGUGAAAUGCGUAGAGAUGCGGAGGAACACCGAUGGCGAAGGCAGCCCCCUGGGCCAAUACUGACGCUCAGGCACGAAAGCGUGGGGAGCAAACAGGAUUAGAUACCCCGGUAGUCC